RNAcentral lists this ribosomal RNA (737 nucleotides) under uncultured bacterium. RNAcentral's name for it is "bacterial SSU rRNA". It matches the Rfam family "Bacterial small subunit ribosomal RNA", at positions 8 to 760 of the family's 1533-position model. The record is from RNAcentral.
AGAGUUUGAUCAUGGCUCAGGAUGAACGCUGGCGGCGUGCUUAACACAUGCAAGUCGAGCGAUGAAGUUUCCUUCGGGAAACGGAUUAGCGGCGGACGGGUGAGUAACACGUGGGUAACCUGCCUCAUAGAGUGGAAUAGCCUUCCGAAAGGAAGAUUAAUACCGCAUAACGUUGAAAGAUGGCAUCAUCAUUCAACCAAAGGAGCAAUCCGCUAUGAGAUGGACCCGCGGCGCAUUAGCUAGUUGGUGGGGUAACGGCCUACCAAGGCGACGAUGCGUAGCCGACCUGAGAGGGUGAUCGGCCACAUUGGGACUGAGACACGGCCCAGACUCCUACGGGAGGCAGCAGUGGGGAAUAUUGCACAAUGGGGGAAACCCUGAUGCAGCAACGCCGCGUGAGUGAUGAAGGUUUUCGGAUCGUAAAGCUCUGUCUUUGGGGAAGAUAAUGACGGUACCCAAGGAGGAAGCCACGGCUAACUACGUGCCAGCAGCCGCGGUAAUACGCAGGUGGCGAGCGUUAUCCGGAUUUACUGGGCGUAAAGGGAGCGUAGGCGGAUGAUUAAGUGGGAUGUGAAAUACCCGGGCUCAACUUGGGUGCUGCAUUCCAAACUGGUUAUCUAGAGUGCAGGAGAGGAGAGUGGAAUUCCUAGUGUAGCGGUGAAAUGCGUAGAGAUUAGGAAGAACACCAGUGGCGAAGGCGACUCUCUGGACUGUAACUGACGCUGAGGCUCGAAAGC